AUGGAUGGCUCAGUGGUUAAGAGCACUGGCUGCUCUUCCAGAGGUCCUGAGUUCAAGUCCCAGCACCCAUC
This 71-nucleotide transfer RNA is filed under the name Rattus norvegicus (Norway rat). It matches the Rfam family "tRNA". Rfam says of the family: Transfer RNA (tRNA) molecules are approximately 80 nucleotides in length. Their secondary structure includes four short double-helical elements and three loops (D, anti-codon, and T loops). Lineage: Eukaryota; Metazoa; Chordata; Mammalia; Rodentia; Muridae. The record is from Rfam by way of RNAcentral.